AGUCGAGGGGCAGCAUAAAUUAGUUUACUAAUUGGUGGCGACCGGCGCACGGGUGCGUGACGCGUAUGCAACCUACCCUGUACUGGGGGAUAGCCCGGAGAAAUUCGGAUUAAGACCCCAUAGUAUUAUGAAAUCGCAUGAUUUUAUACUUAAAGGUUACGGUACAGGAUGGGCAUGCGUCCUAUUAGCUAGAUGGUGAGGUAACGGCUCACCAUGGCUACGAUAGGUAGGGGGCCUGAGAGGGUGAUCCCCCACACUGGUACUGAGACACGGACCAGACUCCUACGGGAGGCAGCAGUGAGGAAUAUUGGUCAAUGGGCGAAAGCCUGAACCAGCCAUGCUGCGUGCAGGAAGAAGGUCCUAUGGAUUGUAAACUGCUUUUAUUUGGGAAUAAACCUCUGGUCGUGGCCGGAGCUGAAGGUACCAAAUGAAUAAGCACCGGCUAACUCCGUGCCAGCAGCCGCGGUAAUACGGAGGGUGCAAGCGUUAUCCGGAAUCAUUGGGUUUAAAGGGUCCGCAGGCGGGCUUAUAAGUCAGUGGUGAAAGCCUACAGCUUAACUGUAGAACUGCCAUUGAUACUGUAGGUCUUGAAUUCGGUCGAAGUGGGCGGAAUGUGUAGUGUAGCGGUGAAAUGCUUAGAUAUUACACAGAACACCGAUAGCGAAGGCAGCUCACUAGGCCUGGAUUGACGCUCAGGGACGAAAGCGUGGGGAUCAAACAGGAUUAGAUACCCUGGUAGUCCACGCCGUAAACUAUGAUUACUCGUUUUCGGCGAUAUACAGUCGGAGACUAAGCG
RNAcentral lists this ribosomal RNA (796 nucleotides) under uncultured Bacteroidota bacterium. Its description in RNAcentral is "bacterial SSU rRNA". It matches the Rfam family "Bacterial small subunit ribosomal RNA", at positions 60 to 853 of the family's 1533-position model. The record is from RNAcentral. Lineage: Bacteria; Pseudomonadati; Bacteroidota.